This 1524-nucleotide ribosomal RNA is filed under the name Klebsiella sp. KBG1. Its description in RNAcentral is "bacterial SSU rRNA". It matches the Rfam family "Bacterial small subunit ribosomal RNA". The record is from RNAcentral. Lineage: Bacteria; Pseudomonadati; Pseudomonadota; Gammaproteobacteria; Enterobacterales; Enterobacteriaceae.
AAAUUGAAGAGUUUGAUCAUGGCUCAGAUUGAACGCUGGCGGCAGGCCUAACACAUGCAAGUCGAGCGGUAGCACAGAGAGCUUGCUCUCGGGUGACGAGCGGCGGACGGGUGAGUAAUGUCUGGGAAACUGCCUGAUGGAGGGGGAUAACUACUGGAAACGGUAGCUAAUACCGCAUAACGUCGCAAGACCAAAGUGGGGGACCUUCGGGCCUCAUGCCAUCAGAUGUGCCCAGAUGGGAUUAGCUAGUAGGUGGGGUAAUGGCUCACCUAGGCGACGAUCCCUAGCUGGUCUGAGAGGAUGACCAGCCACACUGGAACUGAGACACGGUCCAGACUCCUACGGGAGGCAGCAGUGGGGAAUAUUGCACAAUGGGCGCAAGCCUGAUGCAGCCAUGCCGCGUGUGUGAAGAAGGCCUUCGGGUUGUAAAGCACUUUCAGCGGGGAGGAAGGCGUUAAGGUUAAUAACCUUGGCGAUUGACGUUACCCGCAGAAGAAGCACCGGCUAACUCCGUGCCAGCAGCCGCGGUAAUACGGAGGGUGCAAGCGUUAAUCGGAAUUACUGGGCGUAAAGCGCACGCAGGCGGUCUGUCAAGUCGGAUGUGAAAUCCCCGGGCUCAACCUGGGAACUGCAUUCGAAACUGGCAGGCUAGAGUCUUGUAGAGGGGGGUAGAAUUCCAGGUGUAGCGGUGAAAUGCGUAGAGAUCUGGAGGAAUACCGGUGGCGAAGGCGGCCCCCUGGACAAAGACUGACGCUCAGGUGCGAAAGCGUGGGGAGCAAACAGGAUUAGAUACCCUGGUAGUCCACGCCGUAAACGAUGUCGAUUUGGAGGUUGUGCCCUUGAGGCGUGGCUUCCGGAGCUAACGCGUUAAAUCGACCGCCUGGGGAGUACGGCCGCAAGGUUAAAACUCAAAUGAAUUGACGGGGGCCCGCACAAGCGGUGGAGCAUGUGGUUUAAUUCGAUGCAACGCGAAGAACCUUACCUGGUCUUGACAUCCACAGAACUUUCCAGAGAUGGAUUGGUGCCUUCGGGAACUGUGAGACAGGUGCUGCAUGGCUGUCGUCAGCUCGUGUUGUGAAAUGUUGGGUUAAGUCCCGCAACGAGCGCAACCCUUAUCCUUUGUUGCCAGCGGUUAGGCCGGGAACUCAAAGGAGACUGCCAGUGAUAAACUGGAGGAAGGUGGGGAUGACGUCAAGUCAUCAUGGCCCUUACGACCAGGGCUACACACGUGCUACAAUGGCAUAUACAAAGAGAAGCGACCUCGCGAGAGCAAGCGGACCUCAUAAAGUAUGUCGUAGUCCGGAUUGGAGUCUGCAACUCGACUCCAUGAAGUCGGAAUCGCUAGUAAUCGUAGAUCAGAAUGCUACGGUGAAUACGUUCCCGGGCCUUGUACACACCGCCCGUCACACCAUGGGAGUGGGUUGCAAAAGAAGUAGGUAGCUUAACCUUCGGGAGGGCGCUUACCACUUUGUGAUUCAUGACUGGGGUGAAGUCGUAACAAGGUAACCGUAGGGGAACCUGCGG